AUGGUGCUUAGAAAUAUCAGAGACAUGUUGCACUCAAUGGGAAAAGACAUAAAAUCAUUUCCUCUUCCAGAGAUCGAGAAACAACAUGAGACGGCAGACGACGUACCUAGGGAGAUCAUCGAGGAGACCUCAAUCGAGGUGGACCCGGAGGACGCAACUUUACAUAGAAACCUAAACAACGAGCAGAGAAAGGCCUAUGAUGAAAUCUUACACGCAAUUGACCGCCAAAGAGGAGGCUUAUUCUUUGUCGAUGGACCGGGAGGCACAGGAAAAACUUUUCUUUACAGGGCACUCUUGGCCACAAUACGCGGACAAGGCAAGAUUGCUGUGGCGACGGCCACUUCCGGUGUUGCUGCUUCCAUAAUGCCCGGAGGGAGGACCGCACACUCGAGGUUCAAGAUUCCACUA
This 408-nucleotide ribosomal RNA is filed under the name Triticum aestivum (bread wheat). Its description in RNAcentral is "partial small subunit ribosomal RNA". Lineage: Eukaryota; Viridiplantae; Streptophyta; Magnoliopsida; Poales; Poaceae. The record is from RNAcentral.